Small nuclear RNA from Gastrolobium bilobum, 104 nucleotides. The record is from RefSeq and is a predicted model, not a curated record. Lineage: Eukaryota; Viridiplantae; Streptophyta; Magnoliopsida; Fabales; Fabaceae.
UGCAUCUUCUCUCCAUCUCAUUCGAUAAAUUUGGAUCAAUCGGAGAAGAUUAGCAUGGCCCUGCGAGGAUGGGACACACACAUCGAGAAAUGGUACAAUUUUUU